CCCUUAGAUGUUCUGGGCCGCACGCGGGCUACACUGAUGCAUUCAACGAGUCUAAAACCUGCUCUGAUAGGGGUGGGUAAUCUUUUGAAUGUGCAUCGUGAUUGGGAUAGAUGAUUGCAAUUUUUCAUCUUCAACGAGGAAUGCCUAGUAAACGCAAGUCAUCAGCUUGCAUUGAUUACGUCCCUGCCCUUUGUACACACCGCCCGUCGCUCCUACCGAUUGAAUGAUCCGAUGAAUAUCAUGGAUUGAGGAUGCAAGUAGGUUCGCCUAUCUUCAUCUUCGAGAAGUGAAGUAAAUCUUAUCAUUUAGAGGAAGGAGAAGUCGUAACA
This 329-nucleotide ribosomal RNA is filed under the name uncultured eukaryote. Its description in RNAcentral is "partial 18S ribosomal RNA". It matches the Rfam family "Eukaryotic small subunit ribosomal RNA", at positions 1470 to 1796 of the family's 1831-position model. The record is from RNAcentral.